AUGGAGAUGAAGAUCCUUAUUUCUACCUUCAUCCAACCAUGCCUUGGUUUCAUCCCUCCCAAUUAACCUCCUAUUAGUUUAAAUCUUCAUCUUUAGGCCCCUAUCUCCUCUCAAGGCUUCAUUCUUAACAUUAAGGUUCUAUAACUUUUAUAUACUAUAAUCAAACUAAGUAAGGAAAACAAAAUAAAGUUUUUUCAUACCAACUCUUUUUAAUUUAAUCUAUUAUCCACUCUAACAUACAUUUAGAUUUAUUAACAUUUAAUGUGUUCUAAUUAAUUUUUACAUA
Molecule: long non-coding RNA, 286 nt
Filed under: Physcomitrium patens
Lineage: Eukaryota; Viridiplantae; Streptophyta; Bryopsida; Funariales; Funariaceae
Description: long non-coding RNA (PPAT_LNC013576)
Source: RNAcentral